GAUGAACGCUGGCGGCGUGCUUAACACAUGCAAGUCGAACGAAGCACUUUAACCUGAUUCUUCGGAUGAAGGUUUUUGUGACUGAGUGGCGGACGGGUGAGUAACGCGUGGGUAACCUGCCUCAUACAGGGGGAUAACAGUUAGAAAUGACUGCUAAUACCGCAUAAGACCACAGAGCCGCAUGGCUCGGUGGGAAAAACUCCGGUGGUAUGAGAUGGACCCGCGUCUGAUUAGGUAGUUGGUGGGGUAACGGCCUACCAAGCCAACGAUCAGUAGCCGACCUGAGAGGGUGCCCGGCCACAUUGGGACUGAGACACGGCCCAAACUCCUACGGGAGGCAGCAGUGGGGAAUAUUGCACAAUGGGGGAAACCCUGAUGCAGCGACGCCGCGUGAGCGAAGAAGUAUUUCGGUAUGUAAAGCUCUAUCAGCAGGGAAGAAAAUGACGGUACCUGACUAAGAAGCACCGGCUAAAUACGUG
This 479-nucleotide ribosomal RNA is filed under the name uncultured bacterium. RNAcentral describes it as "partial 16S ribosomal RNA". It matches the Rfam family "Bacterial small subunit ribosomal RNA", at positions 28 to 507 of the family's 1533-position model. The record is from RNAcentral.